Molecule: ribosomal RNA, 506 nt
Filed under: uncultured bacterium
Lineage: Bacteria
Description: partial 16S ribosomal RNA
Rfam family: Bacterial small subunit ribosomal RNA
Source: RNAcentral
AGUGAACGCUGGCGGCAGGUCUAACACAUGCAAGUCGAACGGCAGCACAGGAGAGCUUGCUCUCUGGGUGGCGAGUGGCGGACGGGUGAGGAAUAUAUCGGAAUCUACCCUUUCGUGGGGGAUAACGUAGGGAAACUUACGCUAAUACCGCAUACGAACUGAGGUUGAAAGCGGCGGACCGCAAGGCGUCGCGCGGAUGGAUGAGCCGAUAUCCGAUUAGCUAGUUGGCGGGGUAAAGGCCCACCAAGGCGACGAUCGGUAGCUGGUCUGAGAGGAUGAUCAGCCACACUGGAACUGAGACACGGUCCAGACUCCUACGGGAGGCAGCAGUGGGGAAUAUUGGACAAUGGGCGCAAGCCUGAUUCAGCCAUGCCGCGUGUGUGAAGAAGGCCUUCGGGUUGUAAAGCACUUUUGUUGGGAAAGAAAAGCGGUCGGUUAAUACCCGGUCGUUCUGACGGUACCCAAAGAAUAAGCACCGGCUAACUUCGUGCCAGCCGCCGCCGUAA